This 460-nucleotide ribosomal RNA is filed under the name uncultured bacterium. Its description in RNAcentral is "partial 16S ribosomal RNA". It matches the Rfam family "Bacterial small subunit ribosomal RNA", at positions 338 to 795 of the family's 1533-position model. The record is from RNAcentral.
CCUACGGGUGGCAGCAGUGAGGAAUAUUGGUCAAUGGACGGAAGUCUGAACCAGCCAUGCCGCGUGCAGGAAGACGGCGCUAUGAGUUGUAAACUGCUUUUGUACAGGGGUAAACCUGAAUACGUGUAUUCUGCUGAAAGUACUGUACGAAUAAGGAUCGGCUAACUCCGUGCCAGCAGCCGCGGUAAUACGGAGGAUCCAAGCGUUAUCCGGAUUUAUUGGGUUUAAAGGGUGCGUAGGCGGAUUCAUAAGUUAGAGGUGAAAUGUCCGGGCUUAACUCGGGAACUGCCUCUAAUACUGUUGCUCGAGAGAGUAGAUGCGGUAGGCGGAAUGUAUGGUGUAGCGGUGAAAUGCUUAGAGAUCAUACAGAACACCGAUUGCGAAGGCAGCUUACCAAUCUAUAUCUGACGUUGAGGCACGAAAGCGUGGGGAGCAAACAGGAUUAGAUACCCUAGUAGUC